This 450-nucleotide ribosomal RNA is filed under the name uncultured Glomeromycotina. RNAcentral's name for it is "SSU rRNA". It matches the Rfam family "Eukaryotic small subunit ribosomal RNA", at positions 569 to 1023 of the family's 1831-position model. Lineage: Eukaryota; Fungi; Glomeromycota. The record is from RNAcentral.
CGCAGCCGCGGUAAUUCCAGCUCCAAUAGCGUAUAUUAAAGUUGUUGCAGUUAAAAAGCUCGUAGUUGAAUUUCGGGGUUAGUAGGCUGGUCGUGCCACUGGUAUGUACUGGUCUUACUGACUUCUCCUUUCUGAAGAACUGUAAUGCCAUUAAUUUGGUGUUGCAGGGAAUCAGGACUGUUACUUUGAAAAAAUUAGAGUGUUUAAAGCAGGCUAACGCUUGAAUACAUUAGCAUGGAAUAAUGAAAUAGGACGUUCGAUCCUAUUUUGUUGGUUUCUAGGAUUGACGUAAUGAUUAAUAGGGAUAGUUGGGGGCAUUAGUAUUCAAUUGUCAGAGGUGAAAUUCUUGGAUUUAUUGAAGACUAACUACUGCGAAAGCAUUUGCCAAGGAUGUUUUCAUUAAUCAAGAACGAAAGUUAGGGGAUCGAAGACGAUCAGAUACCGUCGUAG